AUCCACAAUCAGUGAAUGUGGUACCUUAAAGCCUGAUCACGCACCACUUCAUCAUCUAACACCUGUGCAUUUUGUGAUUGGCUUAAUGUAAUUGAUGAGCUAGAUGAACGUGGUGGCCUGGGUGGAGGUGGUCAUCCAGAUUAAGGUGACAAUCUAGAUAAAGGUGGUGGUCUAGAUAAAGGUGGUGGUCUAAAUAAAGGUGGUGGUCUAAAUAAAGGUGAUGGUCUACAUAAAGGUGGUGUUCUAGAUAAAGGUGGUGGUCUACAUAAAGAUGGUGAUCUACCUAAAGCAAGAUAAUUGAUGUUGAGGAUUAAGGUAUGAUGACCAGAAUACUAUCAAGAGGUGUCAAUAGGAGGAUGAUGUUAUGGAUGAAGGGUGACAGAGACAUUAUCAGGUGAUGAUGUGAGGAUGAUGUUUUAGACGAAGGCAGGC
Esox lucius (northern pike) is the source of this 432-nucleotide long non-coding RNA. Lineage: Eukaryota; Metazoa; Chordata; Actinopteri; Esociformes; Esocidae. The record is from Ensembl.